Vespa crabro (European hornet) is the source of this 6227-nucleotide long non-coding RNA. RefSeq lists it as uncharacterized. Lineage: Eukaryota; Metazoa; Arthropoda; Insecta; Hymenoptera; Vespidae. The record is from RefSeq and is a predicted model, not a curated record. The transcript is spliced from 3 exons.
UAUGAAAACACGCAAUCGAUUGAUCCUACUAAAUACCCAAUAUUCUUUCGUAUUCUUAUUAGAUAAUAUUGUCCUAUUUCUUGUUAGAGUUCCAUCAUGGCGGCGUUACAGGACGGACGCGUCGCCGUGUGCUCCACAUUUUGUGCAAUUAUUGCUGAUUUAUUUUAUCGGCGAAAAAUUUAUAUCUCACUUGUUAAUAAGUGAACGGUAAACAAAAUGUGAUAUUAAUUAAGACUGGGGACCGAAUAACUAUCUUGUAAUUAGUGGAGAAAUGUGCUCGGUCAUACCAUGGAGGUUAUCUUCGUUUUUCCAGAAGUGGCGUGUGUUAUACUCUAUGGCCAAAUGGCAGACUCAACUGUUACUCACAAUUAUACGAUGGAAGCGUCGCCGUCGGCGCAAGUUGACACUAUUUUGGCUAUUACAUUCAUGCCGCCCUGUGAUUGGUUGCUGGACUUGGACAUGAACUACGUGUAGUGCUAAAAGUUUUCUUCUGGUGACUAAAUUCCAUGAUGGUUACCCGUGAGGAAAAAUAUUCGGAAGAUAAACUAGCCUCCCGUUUGGAUCUCCGGGUGGAGGCUUUCCCAGGGGCGGUUAGCGUGGUGAGAAGCUCGCGCAUAGCAAUAUUGAACACAUCUAGCGCGAUCCCAAAGGUGACAAAUAGAUGUACUUCCGGCGUAGGCCAGCGUAGGAGCGCAGCAACACGUCGAGCGAGUGCACGUUCGUUGUCCGAGGCUACUCACCGAGAGCCCCUCCGCUACGUUCCUAGCCCCGCACAACCCGGACUGCAUCAGGUGAUAGCCAGUUUUCGUGAAACUAUAGAGUUGUCUUGGAAAGGUGCGAUAGGAGUUUGCCGAAGUCAUCUUCUAAAGCUGUACAAACAAGAACCGUAAACACUAAAUCGGCCGCGAUUAGAUUAGGGAAACACAGCGCCAGAGCUGCCGCGAUAAGUCCUUCCAAUUUAAAUAGGAAACAGAUCGAACAAAACCCAGGGUACGAAUCGACAAGCACGCGACCGCGAACUCGAGUAUACACCUGUAUGCACCCCUCGCAAAACUUACUGGACGCAUCCCCCCAGUCUCUAGAAAUAGCCUCAACCCCCGCGAUAAAAGCGCAUACGACAAGACCUUACAUUCGAUAAUCAAGCAAGACCGCGUAGAAACUCCUCGGGAUUCGCCAGAAACGGUCUUCGAAAUAAGCGACACUUCAAUGGGAAUUCUUGAAACGGACACUACAUGCGUAACCCCUGAAACCACCGGCGUGAUAGGUGUGGAACAUUAAUACAAAGCACCUUCGCUGAACUCUGGGUAACUAUUAACGGUAAUGAAGCGAUCUCGGUUAGGGACCCUCUCCCUCCCGUAAUUUCUGCCUUUUCAAAAAUCCGGUUGUUGCAAUUAAAUAUGGGACGCUCUAGAACGGUAACAGGCGAAGUUCGCGAACUUUUAUUAGCCAGAAGUGCUUGGAUGUGCUGUUUUUUAUAGAAUUUGAGAUAAGUUAGGUAACGGAACUGCGGUUGCGCCGACCAACCCGAAUAUCGAGUUAUUAUUCAUCUCGCAGCUUAACACUCUGCACUGCGUCUGUGCAGAAGUGCAAACACCCGGCUCCUCUUUCUACGUCGUUUCGCACUACUUUCAGUACAGCGAUGAAAUAGAGGAGCAGCUUAGGCACUUGAAAUCGUUACUUCGUGCCCUAAGGGGGAAGAGACUAAUCGUAUUACUGGAUGCCAACGCGCGAUCUUCUCUCUGGGGUCCUCAGAGUACAGACGAAAGAGGCUCGAAGCUGGAAGCCCUCAUCCGGGCAUCCGGGCUGAAAGUCUGAAAUAACGUAGAGCAGCCACCCAUCUUUUGGACGACGAGAGGUUCCUUAUAUAUCGACGUAACCCUUUUGUCACAAUCCAUGAGCCGACUUAUUGGCCAAUGGAAGAUUAGAACAGACUGGACGUCCAGGGACCACAAUUCUAUAGAUAUCGCGAUACAUCCUCUGAAGCCUGAGAACCGACUGGGACCUGUUCGCUGAGCGCAUGCUCUCCCUCGCCGCGGCAAGACUAGAGGGAAGCAGUUUAGGAUCGGCUUCAGAAGUAGAGACACGAGCCAACGUGCUCACAAGUGUCCCAUAAGUAGCAUGCUCUGAAUCUAUUCCUCGCAAAAAGGCUCAUCGGAAGUCAAACCCAUGGUGGACUUCAGCGUUAACGAACCAGAAGAAAGUGGUAGCUCGGUUAAGACGCGCGUUCCAACGAGAAAAGGAUGAUCAGGCAUUUGAGGAGCCUCGAGCUAUACCGUUCUUCCUUGCGGGCCUACAGUAAUGAGGUACGACGGGUCAAACUAUAAAUAGCGGGAGAAAAUUCGUCUCGGAACAGGCCAACGCGGAACCGUGGAUUUAUAUUUAUAAGCAACAAGCUAGUAAACUUCCGGUCGAAAGAGUUAUAAACACUCUUAACCCAUUCGAGACCGCGAAGUUUUUUGAACACGGUCCUUAGGAUCCAAAUUUUUUCUUUUUCAUUCUGUUGUUCAUUUUCAGUAAAAAAAACUUGUUUACUAUGGAAAUCAGCCAAUUCGUAAGUCAAUUCGCAUAAAUAAGACGAUUGCACACCGUCUGUGCAAUUGGUUCCUGCGAAGAAUUUUCUCUAAGACUGAACUGUUACACGUCGUCGUUGGUGCUCAGUUUUCACGGAUAAGGAGACACAGAGUGAUGGAAACGAAUUUCUUACUUAUUCACGGAUAAAGAUGGGUCAAAGAAAAGAAAACAUUUAUUAUCUAAGCCAGCGCUUAAGAUAAUAAGAUUUAAGGUAUUAUUUCUUUACAUGUAAGAAAUUCUGAAUACGCAGACCCCGCUGGCUUAAGAUAAUGAUUUUCGUUUAGGUGGUAUGAAUAAAAGGCGAUACUAUUGAUGUUAAUGAUAGAUUUGAAAAAUGGAAUUAGAUAUAUGGGUUCCUGCAAUGAUAUUUUUUAAAAAUGUAGAUUUCGAAAAUUCAAACAAAACAUUUUGUUUUAUUUGGUACAAAUGAAAAUUGAAUGACAAAUUAUGUUUUUGUGUACUUUACAGACACUAUUAAUUAAAAAACAUCUUUUAUUUAGAUUUCUUAAUAUUUUACUCAGAAUAACUGAAAAUUGCUCAUCAUUACUAUUGCACCCCGGUGUGCAGCCGGUCUCAUAGCCUCGUAAAGGCAUUGCACACACGGUGUGCAAUUGGUCUCGAAUGGGUUAAACGAGACGGCGAGAAGACCAUGAACGUCCAAGAUACGGCAAGAGUUCAGCUUUUCAGACGCAUAAUUGUCGGUAUCUUCUUUGGCUAUUCUUAGCGGGUCCUCUGCACAUGAAUCAUCGUGUAUCGAAAAAUCGCUAUCAUUCUCCGAGCUACUGAAAAUCCGUUUCUUGCUCUUCCUAACAGGAAUGAUGUCAGAGUCAUCGGUGUCACUCGGACAACUUGGAUAGGAAAGGAACGGAAGGAAGUUGGAGAGAGAGAAAGAAUAGAGAAAGAGAUGACAGAAGAACAAAGAAAGGAAAAGCCGUACGAGAACAUUCAUACACCAUUCAUACAGUUCCAUUUAGUCGCCUCUUACGACAAGCAGGAAGUACUGUGGGAGUAUUCUACUAUCCCCUACCCACAGGGAAAAAAACCUUCAUUAUAUAUUCCUUCCUUUCUUUUAUAAGCCCCUCUACCUAAGAUACUUUUACUAAAGUACUAUAUUAAAAGAUUAUAUUUUCUCCCUUACCUUCUAAGUACUUUCAUUUAAAGUAUUUCCACUAAAGUACUUUGAUUACAUUUUAUUGAUUAUUUCCUUUUUCUUCUAAGUCCUGUUACCCAAGGCUCUUUUACCCAAGUACUUUGACCAUAUGUUUCAUAAUUAUGUUCCUCCUUUUCUUUCUAAGUCCCUUUUACUCAAGGUGCUUUGAUAGAGUGCUUUGAUUAUAUGUACCUUAUUCUUUUUUUAAGUCCUUUUAUUCAAAGCGCUCUCACUAAAGUACUUUUUUAAAUGUUCUCUCUCUUCUUUCUAGGUUCUUACUUAUAGUGUUUUACUAAAGUACAUUGUCACAUGUACUUUCUCUUAUUCCCUACGUCCUUCCACCUAAAGUAUUUUCACUAUUUCUCUUCUAAGCACUUUUACUUAAAGUACCUUUACCAAAGAACCCUGUUUAUAUGUUCUUCUUCUUCAAUCCAAGUUAGACUUAAAGUACACCUACUAAAGAACCUUGAUUAUAUGUCCUUUUCUCCUUCUAAGUUCUUUGGCUGAAAGCACUUCUAUUAAAGAACUUUGAUCUUUUAUUUUUUUUUUUCUUUGAUCUGUUUUUGAUCUUUUAUUUUUUUUCCUCUCUACGCCCUCUAAUCAGAAGUAUCUUAACUAAGUACGUUGAUCAUACGUUCUUCUUCUCUUCUCUAAGUACUUUACUUAAAGUAUUAGCACCAAAAACCUUUAUUACACGUUCUUUCUUUUCACUCUAAGUCCUUUGACUUAAAGUACUUCUACUAAAGAACUCCGAUUGUGUUCUUUCCUCCCUCUUCUAAGUCCCCUUAUUUAAAGUACUUUUUUAAAAGUACUUUGAUUAUAUGCUCUUUCCUUUAGUUUCUAAGUCAUUCUACUUACAGCACUGCUUAAAUUAUAUGAUCAUCCUUUCUUUUCAAGUCCCCUUACUCAAAGUACUUUGCUAAUGUACUUUGAUUGUAUGUUCUUUCUUUUCUCCUCCAAAUCCUUUCACUUAAAGUAUUUUUACUAAAGUACUUAAUCAUACGCUCUUUCUUUUUUUUUCCAAGUCGUCUCACUUAAAGUACUCUUACUAAAGUACUUGGUUAGUUAGUUCCAAAACCAUACUAAAUAAUACGAUGGUCUGUAAAUGCACGUUUCUACCACAAAGUAGCGCUGAGUAGCUGGUAGCCAAUGUCCAAAACGGUUCGGAAUGCAAAAAGUUAAAAGGUAUUCAAGAAAAUGGAAUCGAUUUGUAGCGCAGUUUUCCAGUUCACGUAGAUUUGGAAAUAGUAUUGAAGUACGUAGUAUACGUCUUAUUAUUGUUUUUUGCAACACAAUACGAAAGAUACUAAGAAUAGAACAAAGCGAGUAAUAAAAACAAAACGUGGCUACACGCUUGUCUUGAGUAAAAUAUGAUAUUUUUAAAUUAUGGCCCGGCCGUCAAUUCUCUUACAGAGACGUAACAGUGAAACUUUCAGAAUCGCGUUAAGAGGAAGAAGAAAAAAUAUAAACGAAACAAGAGGACUAACCGACGAGACGUCGUUGUAACUUUGUGAAUAGAAGGGAUAUUCCCUUGAAUAGUUUUCAUUCGUGCUUGGUAUCGCUGUUUUCAACAGCUCAUUUUAACCCAGAAUUAUUGGUGAUAAUUAUAAGUAACUUAGUUUUUCAUUUACGUUAUGUUCCUUGCUAUUUAAUAGUAUUUACUCGAAUAAUUUAUAUUUCUUUAAUCGUAUCUUUCAAUUGUACCAAAUUCCAGCUCGACUCUUCACGAUUGAAUCAAGAGGACAUCUUUUGAGGACUCUCAUCCCAGAGCUAUCGUAAUGGAUCACGGAUGGAAAAAAGUGAACAACACUGAUUGCAUCGCACGAUGAUUAAACGUGGAAGAGAAGAUUAUGAAGAAAAGAAAGGAAUGUAGGAAGAUGCGAUGUAGCUGAUAACGAAAGUUGGACAUCUCGAAGAUCCCUGCAUUCUGUUAAAGUCAGAGUGGGAUAAUGCAGUUAUAUUUUUCUCUAUCGAGAGAAGAAGACCCGUCCCACCUUUGGGAUUAUUCCCUUUAUUAUUAGCGUACAACAAUCGAUUUCUCACCUUCGGAGAUAGUUGCGACGUCGUUCGGAAAUUGGAAAGUAGAAAGAAAAUUAUUAGUAUCAUCGUUGUAAUAAGAAAGCAUUGAAAAUAUUUUAAAUGUUUGGUGUAAAAAUAUGUAUAUGUAAUGUUCAGAGAAACAGACUAUUGUUUAUUUAAUAAAAGUAAUAUAUAAAUAGAUCAUGCGCAUCAUCUAGCGUGAACGUUGCCGUAAUAGUUUCCGGAGACCUCGAUGUUCGCAAUUUCUCUCCACCAUGGCAUUCAACGCGUUAAAACAUUAAAUUAUGUCAACAAAUUAAUUUAUACAAACUUUUACAGUACGUACAUUCGUUCGCCACUUUUUCUCAAGAUACAUUUUAUUUUUACCUGCUGAUAUUAUGUUGUUACAUUAUAGUGCUUAUUAUUAUUCCUAAUAUCAAAAUAAUUAAUAUUGUGUAAAUAUUAUUACCAACAUCCCUAUUCUUAU